GCUAAUACCGGAUAACAACAGAUGAUGCCUAUCAACUGUUUAAAAAGAUGGUUCUGCUAUCACUCUUGGAUGGACCUGCGGUGCAUUAGCUAGUUGGUAGGGUAACGGCCUACCAAGGCGAUGAUGCAUAGCCGAGUUGAGAGACUGAUCGGCCACAUUGGGACUGAGACACGGCCCAAACUCCUACGGGAGGCAGCAGUC
Molecule: ribosomal RNA, 201 nt
Filed under: uncultured Lactobacillus sp.
Lineage: Bacteria; Bacillati; Bacillota; Bacilli; Lactobacillales; Lactobacillaceae
Description: partial 16S ribosomal RNA
Rfam family: Bacterial small subunit ribosomal RNA
Source: RNAcentral